UCAUGAUUCUUCAUAUUUUCACUAUUUACAGAAACAUAAUUUGGAAAUUAGAAUUUUCGUAAAAUUGGGUUUGGAUGAAAUUAACAAAAUGCUAAAAUAAUAAUUAUAUUCCUUAUCGUUUUUUUUAACAGAAAAUGAUAAAGAAACGCAAUUUAGUUGUGCAUCAUGGAGGCUAUUGGAGGAAGAUCCAAAAAUUGGAGUAUGUGGGUGGAAAAUUGCAAACUCAACUUUUUGAAGAAUUGAGUAUAGUAAAAUUUAUGCUUUUUGGGGAAGAUGUUGCAAGCAGUAUCAAGGAAGAUAAAACGAAGGGGCUGCACUAUUUAAUUGCAUAUCAAUUUUUGAUUUCAUUUGGAAACGUAAUAUGUGCUUAUUUGAGGAUAAUUGUCACUUUCUUUUUCUUUUUAAUGGAUAAUUGUCAUUUAAUUAUUGAA
Long non-coding RNA from Beta vulgaris subsp. vulgaris (sugar beet), 431 nucleotides. RefSeq lists it as uncharacterized. NCBI's taxonomy places the organism in Eukaryota, Viridiplantae, Streptophyta, Magnoliopsida, Caryophyllales, Amaranthaceae. The record is from RefSeq and is a predicted model, not a curated record. The transcript has 2 exons.